UCCAUUUUCUUGUCUUUUCCAGCUUCUAGGAGGUGUCCACAGUCCUUGGCUCGUGGCCCCCUCCCUCCAUCUUUGAAGCCAGCAAUGUUGUAUCUCUAACCAUCCUGCAGUUAGAGUGCUUCCUCUGACUAUAGACCGGGAAGGUUCUCUGAGUUUAAAGAUUAAAUCCACCUGGAUAAUCUAGGUCAAUCUCCCCUCUCAAGGUCCUUAACUUAAUUACAUCUUCAAAGUCCCUUUUGCUACGUAAUUUAUUCACAGGUUGUUGGGGUUUGGGUAAGGGCAUCUUUGGGGGGCCAUUAUUCUGUCUGCCACACUCUGUACUGUCAGUGAAUCACUGCUGAAAGGUACAUAGGUUUUACUUUAUGAAAAUAGACAGUAUUAGCCAAGUUGUGAACAAUUGUGCCGGUAUUGUUUAUCAUUUAUUCCUCUGGUGGUUGGUGAGAGCCAUAUCUGCUUAGCAGAGUGCUAAUGUACUGCAGGCCUCGCUGGUCAAUGUCUUUGUUUUCAAGGACUAUUAUUCUAGUAAGGAGGAGAGAAUAAACUCAUAUUAGUUGAAUAUCUGCAAUGGGCUAAGCACUCUACAGUGAAUUUUAGAUGCGUUAGUCCCAUUUAAUUUCCACGCCAAGUUCAUAAAUUGUGGUACGAAGCCUACAGAUGACCCUUAAUGAUCCCCACUUCAUAGUAUUCAUGCCCUUGUGUAAUCUUGUCUGUUUGAGUGUAGGCUGGACCUAGUGACUCUCUCACUGAAUGGCGUGGGACAAAAGUGCUAGGGUAUGGUUUCUGGGAUUAGGUUGCAGAAGACUGUGACUUCCCUCUUGCUCCCACUCUCUCUCUUUCCCUUUCACCAGCUUGUUUUGAUGAAGCAAGCCGCAACAUGGAAUGUUGCCCCAUAGAGAGACCAUAUGUCAAGGAACUGGGGGCGGCCUCCAGCCAACAGCCGGAGGGAACCAAGACCCUCAGUGCAACAGCUUGCGAGGAACUGAAUCCUACCAACAACCAGAGCAUGAACUUAGAAGCGGACCCGUCUCUAGAUGAGCCUUGAGAUGACUGCAGCCCCAGUGAACACCUUGACGGCAGCCUUGUGAGAGGUCCUGAGCCAGAGAACACUGCUAAGCCGCACCAGAUUCCUGACCCACAGACCUUACAAGAUAGAGAGGAUACUGCCUCCACCUCGCAGUCAGACAGACCCUGUACCAGCCCUAGAGGAAUAAGCUUGAAGUCAUUUCCAGGUAAUCCCUAGGUCUCCAGGCCUAAUCAAACCGAAGGAACAGUGAAGAGAGAUAUAUUAUAACAAAAUUCAUCAUUUUGGAGCCCCAACAGAUGGAAGCACAGAGGCAUUUACAGUUAAUCCACAGAUUCGUGAAGCUGCAAUUUUUAAAAAUUUCCUUACUUCAUGACUAUAUGAAACAUAGAGGAAUGAAUGGUGGCACUACGUUUACGGAUGGGUGGUCUAGUAAGCUGAUAAUGGUCCCAAAGUUAUCAAGUCCUAACCCUUGAAGCCUGUGAAUGUUAUCUUAUGUGGAAAAGAUCUUGAGAUGGAGAGGUUAUCCUGAAUUACUGGAUGGAUCUUAAAUGCAAUCAAGUGCCCUUAUAAAAGAGAGGCAGAGGGAAAUUUGACACAGAGAAGACACACACAAAAACAGAGGAGAAGGUGAUGUGAAGAUGGAGCAAAGAGAGAUUUGAAGAUACUGGCCUUGAAGAAUGGAGUGAUGCAGACACAAGUCAAGGAAUGCUGGCAGCCACCAAAAGCAAGAAGAGGCAAGGAACAGAUUCACCCCACCAGAGGGAGCAUGACCUUGACACCUUGAUUUCAGACCAAUGAUACUGAUUUUGGAUUUCAAGCCUACAGAACUAUGAAAGAAUAAAUUUAUUUAUUUUUUUUUAGACA
This is a non-coding RNA of Equus caballus (horse), 1888 nucleotides long. Lineage: Eukaryota; Metazoa; Chordata; Mammalia; Perissodactyla; Equidae. The record is from RefSeq and is a predicted model, not a curated record.